CUUUACCUGAUGCUUUAACAAAAUUUGACACUAAAACUUGAAUUGAUAGCGCUGCAUGUGACAAGGACUGCAAACUUUCUGCAUGAACCGUCUGUCUUCUUCUCCACCAAAUAUACCAAGCCGACGUCAAAAUUGUUUCUUUUAUGUACUUCACAGAUGCAUCAGUUGCAUUCUUAAUCUUUAUCUCCCGGAGGCGGGAUUCCGUUUAAAUUGUCAAUCCGAAGGGAGGCUAUCUGUCCAGCUUCAGUUGAAAACGGCAGCUAUCCUGGGACCUUGAGAUUUUCUGGGGAUGGAUUAGAGUUGCCGUAAGUGCCUUCCUGCCGUCCCUCCCGCUCCAAGCCGCCGACGCGUUCUCCCGCUCCUCUCUUUCACCGGGAAGGCGGGAAGGACCCAUGGAUCUGGGCUGAACCGUUGCAGGCUUGCAGCCGGCUUAGAUCCGGCCGGAUUCAUGCUCUUCUUGCCGGGCAGCGGGAGGGAGCACCUAACCAUCUGAGGCCCGCGAGAGGAUGAGGUGGCGGCACAGCGCUUCAACGCGCUUGCGUCCAGGGCUGCCGCUCGCCUCAGCUUGCAGGCCAGCUUACUGCCGCAUCGAGCAGCAGGAGUAAUCCUUGAAUAGUUGCAGCCAAAAGUGGGAGCAAUAAAAAUGGGAAGGAAGGCUGGCGUAAAUGAAGCAGUCUGCUCAGCAAAAUCAAGAAAUAUUUGAGCUGUGAUUUCAAGAAAAUAAAUAAAGGUAGACUUCAUCGUAACUAGCUGUCCAGGAUGUGCCAAGGUAAUCCCUCCGUCCCAAAAUUCAUGUUUUAAAUUUGUCUAAAUACAGAUAUAUCUAGUUAUGUUUUAGUACCGCUCAAAAAGAAGUUAUGUUUUAGUGUUAGAUACAUUCGUAUCUAGACAAAUUUAAGACAAGAAUUUUAAGACGGAGAAGUAUAAAAUAGCUGAUUAUUGUUACAUAUGGCUGCUCCUGCAACUCAAAACUCUGGAUAAGUACUAGGGAAUGCAAGUAAGUUUUAUCAGAGAAAGAGAACUGGAGUCCGUUGUGUUGAAGCAAGGAUACUUGAAAUGUGUAUUUGAUAAAAGUAAUGUUAGAUUUUCUUGCCAUCCUGGUAUUUUAUAUAAAAUAUGCAAAAUAACUGCAUUGCAGCAUGGAACUGAA
Molecule: long non-coding RNA, 1150 nt
Organism: Triticum urartu
Lineage: Eukaryota; Viridiplantae; Streptophyta; Magnoliopsida; Poales; Poaceae
Source: RefSeq, a predicted model, not a curated record